AGUGAACGCUGGCGGUAGGCCUAACACAUGCAAGUCGAACGGCAGCACAGUAAGAGCUUGCUCUUACGGGUGGCGAGUGGCGGACGGGUGAGGAAUACAUCGGAAUCUACUUUUUCGUGGGGGAUAACGUAGGGAAACUUACGCUAAUACCGCAUACGACCUACGGGUGAAAGCAGGGGAUCUUCGGACCUUGCGCGAUUGAAUGAGCCGAUGUCGGAUUAGCUAGUUGGCGGGGUAAAGGCCCACCAAGGCGACGAUCCGUAGCUGGUCUGAGAGGAUGAUCAGCCACACUGGAACUGAGACACGGUCCAGACUCCUACGGGAGGCAGCAGUGGGGAAUAUUGGACAAUGGGCGCAAGCCUGAUCCAGCCAUACCGCGUGGGUGAAGAAGGCCUUCGGGUUGUAAAGCCCUUUUGUUGGGAAAGAAAAGCAGCAGGUUAAGACCCCGCUGUUCUGACGGUACCCAAAGAAUAAACACCGGCUAACUUCGU
This 491-nucleotide ribosomal RNA is filed under the name uncultured bacterium. RNAcentral describes it as "partial 16S ribosomal RNA". It matches the Rfam family "Bacterial small subunit ribosomal RNA", at positions 29 to 506 of the family's 1533-position model. The record is from RNAcentral.